Sebastes umbrosus (honeycomb rockfish) is the source of this 161-nucleotide long non-coding RNA. RefSeq lists it as uncharacterized. NCBI's taxonomy places the organism in Eukaryota, Metazoa, Chordata, Actinopteri, Perciformes, Sebastidae. The record is from RefSeq and is a predicted model, not a curated record. The transcript is spliced from 3 exons.
AUUAAUCUUCAGGUUCCAGCUUUCAGAUGAUGUACACCACUUCUAUGUGACAUCUACUGUUGACCUGCUACCUCCCCCUUCAGAUCCCCUGGACCCCCCUAAAAAAGACAAAAACGGCUAUAUUGUUGGUCUCAGAGGGUUAAAAUACUCCAGUGAAGUGA